RNAcentral lists this non-coding RNA (173 nucleotides) under Clostridiaceae bacterium. RNAcentral's name for it is "6S RNA". It matches the Rfam family "6S / SsrS RNA". From Rfam's summary of the family: E. coli 6S RNA was the first non coding RNA to be sequenced, but its function was unknown until recently. It consists of 184 nucleotides that fold into an extended hairpin structure with a large single-stranded internal bulge. Lineage: Bacteria; Bacillati; Bacillota; Clostridia; Eubacteriales; Clostridiaceae. The record is from RNAcentral.
AGAUGCCUGAAAUGCACGGCGCUCUUGUUUUUGGACCACCAUUUUUUGAAGGGGAGUCCGGGUCGAAGUGGAAUAUGAAUAGGCCUUCAAAGGACAUUCUAAGACCACCGCAGGGCACCCACCUGGCUAUAAGGCUGGGUAUCAAAAAAAGAGUGCGGCAUUUCGGGUUUCCU